This 479-nucleotide ribosomal RNA is filed under the name uncultured bacterium. RNAcentral's name for it is "partial 16S ribosomal RNA". It matches the Rfam family "Bacterial small subunit ribosomal RNA", at positions 28 to 507 of the family's 1533-position model. The record is from RNAcentral.
GAUGAACGCUGGCGGCGUGCUUAACACAUGCAAGUCGAACGAAGCACCUUGAUUCGAUUCUUCGGAUGAAGAUCUUGGUGACUGAGUGGCGGACGGGUGAGUAACGCGUGGGUAACCUGCCUCAUACAGGGGGAUAACAGUUAGAAAUGACUGCUAAUACCGCAUAAGACCACAGCACCGCAUGGUGCAGGGGUAAAAACUCCGGUGGUAUGAGAUGGACCCGCGUCUGAUUAGGUAGUUGGUGGGGUAACGGCCUACCAAGCCGACGAUCAGUAGCCGAACUGCGAGGGUGACCAGACACAUUGAGACUGGGACACGGCCCAAACUCCUACGGGAGGCAGGAGUGGGGAAUAUUGCACAAUGGGGGAAACCCAGAUGCAGCGACGCCACGUGAACGAUGAAGUAUUUCGGUAUGUAAAGCUCUAUCAGCAGGGAAGAAAAUGACGGUACCUGACUAAGAAGCACCGGCUAAAUACGUG